RNAcentral lists this ribosomal RNA (422 nucleotides) under uncultured archaeon. RNAcentral describes it as "partial 16S ribosomal RNA". It matches the Rfam family "Archaeal small subunit ribosomal RNA", at positions 323 to 746 of the family's 1478-position model. The record is from RNAcentral.
CUACGGGCUGCACCAGUUAGGCAUAUUUUGCAAUGCGCGCAAGCGUGACAAAUUGAGCCAGAGUGUCCUCCAUAUCGGCGGACUUUUAUGGAAUGUAAAAAGUUCUAUGAAUAAGGACUGGGUAAGACUAGUGCCAGCCGCCGCGGUAAUACUAGCGGUCCAAGUCGCAGCCAUUUUUAUUGGGUCUAAAACAUCCGUAGCUUGCUUGGUAAGUUCUUUGUGAAAUUUUAUCUCUUAAAGAUAAAGCGCGCAAGGAGUACUGCCGAGCUAGAGACUGGAAGAUGUAGGAAGUAUGCUCAAAGUAGCGGUAAAAUGUUUUAAUCUUGAACAGACUCACAAUAGCGAAGGCAUCCUACAAGGACAGUUCUGACAGUAAGGGAUGAAGGCUAGGGGCGCAAAACGGAUUAGAUACCCGUGUAGUC